GGAAUCAACACAGUAAAGGAGGAGACUAUAUUUAAAAGAAGAAAAACUACCACAACAAGAGGACAUAGUCUUAAAUUAGAGGGACAAAGGUUUAAAAAUAAUAUCAGGAAGUAUUACUUUACUGAGAGGGUAGUGGAUGCAUGGAAUAGCCUUCCAGCUGAAGUGGUAGAGGUUAACACAGUAAAGGAGUGUAAGCAUGCGUGGGAUAGGCAUAAGGCUAUCCUAACUAUAAGAUAAGGCCAGGG
This is a non-coding RNA of Pelobates cultripes (western spadefoot toad), 245 nucleotides long. The record is from the annotation of a GenBank genome assembly. NCBI's taxonomy places the organism in Eukaryota, Metazoa, Chordata, Amphibia, Anura, Pelobatidae.